Erpetoichthys calabaricus (reedfish) is the source of this 142-nucleotide small nucleolar RNA. The record is from Ensembl. Lineage: Eukaryota; Metazoa; Chordata; Cladistia; Polypteriformes; Polypteridae.
CACCCCUGUCACUGGGCAAGGCAACACCCAUGAUGAUGGUGCUGAAUCUUAUAUCUGACAGGGGUAGAUAAAACUUGGCCCAUAUUCAUCCCAGCAUACUCUUUUUGUGAGGCCAUGUCUGGUUCAUGCUAUGGGUACAUCG